This 491-nucleotide ribosomal RNA is filed under the name uncultured bacterium. Its description in RNAcentral is "partial 16S ribosomal RNA". It matches the Rfam family "Bacterial small subunit ribosomal RNA", at positions 29 to 507 of the family's 1533-position model. The record is from RNAcentral.
GUGGACGCUGGCGGUAGGCCUAACACAUGCAAGUCGAACGGCAGCACAGUAAGAGCUUGCUCUUACGGGUGGCGAGUGGCGGACGGGUGAGGAAUACAUCGGAAUCUACUUUUUCGUGGGGGAUAACGUAGGGAAACUUACGCUAAUACCGCAUACGACCUACGGGUGAAAGCAGGGGAUCUUCGGACCUUGCGCGAUUGAAUGAGCCGAUGUCGGAUUAGCUAGUUGGCGGGGUAAAGGCCCACCAAGGCGACGAUCCGUAGCUGGUCUGAGAGGAUGAUCAGCCACACUGGAACUGAGACACGGUCCAGACUCCUACGGGAGGCAGCAGUGGGGAAUAUUGGACAAUGGGCGCAAGCCUGAUCCAGCCAUACCGCGUGGGUGAAGAAGGCCUUCGGGUUGUAAAGCCCUUUUGUUGGGAAAGAAAAGCAGCAGGUUAAUACCCCGCUGUUCUGACGGUACCCAAAGAAUAAGCACCGGCUAACUUCGUG